This 1801-nucleotide ribosomal RNA is filed under the name metagenome. RNAcentral describes it as "bacterial LSU rRNA". It matches the Rfam family "Bacterial large subunit ribosomal RNA", at positions 1007 to 2814 of the family's 2925-position model. The record is from RNAcentral.
AUUGUCAAAAGGGAAACAACCCAGACCACCAGCUAAGGUCCCUAAUCAUAACUAAGUGGGAAAGGAGGUGGAGAUUCAUAAACAACCAGGAGGUUGGCUUAGAAGCAGCCAUACCUUUAAAGAGUGCGUAAUAGCUCACUGGUCGAGAGUCUCUGCGCCGACAAUGUAACGGGGCUAAGUUAUGAACCGAAGCUGUGGAAUUGCGCAAGCAAUUGGUAGGAGAGCGUUCUGUAGGCCGUUGAAGGAGAAGCGUAAGCAACUCUGGAGGUAUCAGAAGUGAGAAUGCAGGAAUAAGUAGCGAGAAGGGAGGCGAGAAUCCUCCCCGCCGGAAGACCAAGGUUUUCAGGGUAAAGCUUGUCUUCCCUGAGUAAGCCGGGACCUAAGCCGAGGCUAUAGUGCGUAGGCGAAUGGAAAACAGAUUAAUAUUUCUGUGCCAGUCAUAUUUUGUGAUGGAGGGACGCAGAAGGGUAUGUACGCGGAAGAACGGUAGUUUCCGUAAAAGCAUGUAGAAUGACUUGAUAGGUAAAUCCGUCAAGUUAGAUUUGAGGUGUGAUAUAUAGUCGUAAGAUGAAUGUACAAAUCCCACGCUGCCGAGAAAAGCUUCUAACGUUAAGGUAUGACUGCCCGUACCCGAAACCGACACAGGUGGUCAGGAUGAGAAAUCUAAGGCGGACAGGCUAACUCUCGUUAAGGAACUCUGCAAAAUUGCCCCGUAACUUCGGGAGAAGGGGUGCCCCUGAGUGUGAGCAUACACGCGAUGUUAAGCGCUUGGGGGUCGCAGUGAAGAGGCUCAAGCAACUGUUUAACAAAAACACAGGUCUAUGCUAAGCUGUAAGGCGAUGUAUAUGGGCUGACACCUGCCCAGUGCCGGAAGGUUAAGAGGAGGAGUGAGAGCUCCGAAUUGAAGCCCCGGUGAACGGCGGCCGUAACUAUAACGGUCCUAAGGUAGCGAAAUUCCUUGUCGGGUAAGUUCCGACCUGCACGAAUGGUGUAAUGAUUUGAGCGCUGUCUUGACGGGAGGCCUGGUGAAAUUGUAUUACCGGUGAAGAUACCGGUUACCUACAGUAGGACGGAAAGACCCCAUGGAGCUUUACUGUAGCUUGGUAUUGGGUUUUGGCAUUGCAUGUAUAGGAUAGUUGGGAAACUAUGAUGGUAUGGCGCUAGCUAUAUCGGAGUUGUCGGUGGAAUACCAACCAUUCAAUGUUGAAAUUCUAAUCUGUGGUUUGGAGCCACGGAGACAGUGCUAGGUGGGCAGUUUGACUGGGGCGGUCGCCUCCGAAAGAGUAACGGAGGCGUUCAAAGGUUCUCUCAGGUUGGAUGGAAAUCAACCGCAGAGUGCAAUGGCAUAAGAGAGCUUGACUGCGAGACUGACGGGUCGAGCAGGUGCGAAAGCAGGACAUAGUGAUCCGGCGAUUCCGAAUGGAAGGAUCGUCGCUCAACGGAUAAAAGCUACCCUGGGGAUAACAGGCUGAUCCUACCCGAGAGUCCAUAUCGACGGUAGGGUUUGGCACCUCGAUGUCGGCUCAUCGCAUCCUGGGGCUGGAGAAGGUCCCAAGGGUUGGGCUGUUCGCCCAUUAAAGCGGUACGUGAGCUGGGUUCAGAACGUCGUGAGACAGUUCGGUCCCUAUCCACUGUAGGCGUUAGAAUAUUGAGAAGAUCUGUCCUUAGUACGAGAGGACCGGGAUGGACAAACCUCUGAUGUACCAGUUGUCACGCCAGUGGCACAGCUGGGUAGUCACGUUUGGAACAGAUAACCGCUGAAAGCAUCUAAGCGGGAAACUGACUUCAAGAUAAGUAUUCU